RNAcentral lists this ribosomal RNA (224 nucleotides) under uncultured bacterium. RNAcentral describes it as "partial 16S ribosomal RNA". It matches the Rfam family "Bacterial small subunit ribosomal RNA", at positions 126 to 334 of the family's 1533-position model. The record is from RNAcentral.
CUGCCUUCGGGUUUGGGACAACUCCGGGAAACUGGAGCUAAUACCGAAUGAGACUACAGAGCCCCUGGGUUCAGUGGUCAAAGAUGGCCUCUUCUUGAAAGCUAUCGCCCGUUGAUGAGUCCGCGUCCCAUUAGCUUGUUGGUGAGGUAACGGCUCACCAAGGCUCCGAUGGGUAGCUGGUCUGAGAGGAUGAUCAGCCACACUGGAACUGAGACACGGUCCAG